Long non-coding RNA from Eurytemora carolleeae, 199 nucleotides. RefSeq lists it as uncharacterized. NCBI's taxonomy places the organism in Eukaryota, Metazoa, Arthropoda, Copepoda, Calanoida, Temoridae. The transcript is spliced from 3 exons. The record is from RefSeq and is a predicted model, not a curated record.
GUAAUUUAGGCAACAGUAUGUCGUUGACAAUGUUUAUAAUAUGCGUGAUCUCAAGAUUAAAUUACAGGAUAUCACCAUCUCGCUGAACCAACAGGGAGCCGAUUUUGUUCUCUUUGAAGGAUUUGAUGUUAUAUUUUCUCUGCUCGGAGAAUAUAACAAGAAUGCUACUGUUGACAUGAAGAAUAUAGGUGAAUAUAAU